Molecule: ribosomal RNA, 279 nt
Filed under: uncultured bacterium
Lineage: Bacteria
Description: partial 16S ribosomal RNA
Rfam family: Bacterial small subunit ribosomal RNA
Source: RNAcentral
GUGUGCCUACGGGGGGCAGCAGUAGGGAAUCUUCCACAAUGGGCGAAAGCCUGAUGGAGCAACGCCGCGUGGGUGAAGAAGGUCUUCGGAUCGUAAAACCCUGUUGUUAGAGAAGAAAGUGCGUGAGAGUAACUGUUCACGUUUCGCCGGUAUCUAACCAGCAAGCCACGGCUAACUACGUGCCAGCAGCCGCGGUAAUACGUAGGUGGCAAGCGUUAUCCGGAUUUAUUGGGUGUAAAGGGAACGCAGGCGGUCUUUUAAGUCUGCUUUGAAAGCCUU